AAAAAGCUGUGGCUAGAAUUUCAAUGUAGCAAGAAUGCCUCUGCCAUAAAAGGAGUUCCACAGUAGCCACGAAGCUGCAGGAAGUCUCUCUGCUCCCAAACAUCAGCCCUUUGUUAAAUUUGCAGAGCUCACCAGAUUAGAUGGCACUCUGGACUGCCUCAUCCAAAGAAAUCUUGGCCACAGAGAGGGCCAGGGUCAUGGUACAACAAUGUCUGAUGAUGUCAAGGAAGCGUCUUUUCAGUGACGUCCCCAAGACCAGCCUAGUUUGAAAAGGCAAAACGCUA
Molecule: long non-coding RNA, 284 nt
Filed under: Ornithorhynchus anatinus (platypus)
Lineage: Eukaryota; Metazoa; Chordata; Mammalia; Monotremata; Ornithorhynchidae
Description: lncRNA (ENSOANG00000044909.1)
Source: RNAcentral